AACGAACGCUGGCGGCAUGCCUAACACAUGCAAGUCGAACGAUCCCUUCGGGGAUAGUGGCGCACGGGUGCGUAACGCGUGGGAACCUGCCCUUAGGUUCGGAAUAACUCAGAGAAAUUUGAGCUAAUACCGGAUAAUGUCUUCGGACCAAAGAUUUAUCGCCUUUGGAUGUGCCCGCGUUGGAUUAGCUAGUUGGUGGGGUAAAGGCCUACCAAGGCGACGAUCCAUAGCUGGUCUGAGAGGAUGAUCAGCCACACUGGGACUGAGACACGGCCCAGACUUCUACGGGAGGGAGGAGUGGGGAAUAUUGGAACAUGGGCGAAAGCCUGAUCCAGCAAUGCCGCGUGAGUGAUGAAGGCCUUAGGGUUGUAAAGCUCUUUUACCCGGGAUGAUAAUGACAGUACCGGGAGAAUAAGCCCCGGCUAACUCCGUG
RNAcentral lists this ribosomal RNA (433 nucleotides) under uncultured bacterium. Its description in RNAcentral is "partial 16S ribosomal RNA". It matches the Rfam family "Bacterial small subunit ribosomal RNA", at positions 29 to 507 of the family's 1533-position model. The record is from RNAcentral.